This 777-nucleotide long non-coding RNA is filed under the name Mus caroli (Ryukyu mouse). RNAcentral describes it as "predicted gene 43560 (MGP_CAROLIEiJ_G0034548.1)". The record is from RNAcentral. Lineage: Eukaryota; Metazoa; Chordata; Mammalia; Rodentia; Muridae.
AUCCUACACUGAAUUACCUACACUGGAAUGUCUAUUAAUGUUUUUGUGACUGUGACAGAAUAUUCCGCUGCGGCAGCUUAGAGUGGAGGCUCUGUUUCUUGAGUUCAUAUUCCUUAGAAAAGGAGGCUCCAUUCCCUGAGUUCAUGUCACUACACAGAUGUGAAAUGAGCAAGACCCAGACUCAGCUUCUGAGGGAGAACAGCGCACUUGCCCUUCUGUGCGGGGCUGCUUUGGUUUAACCCAACAGUAGCAUGCAGAAGGCCUGACUGGAAAUCCUAACCCGGCAUCCUUCAGGUCUUUGAAGUUGUGCACAUUGCUUGACUUCACUGAGCCCCAAAUUACCAUGAAGUUAGACAUACAGUCACCCUUCACAAAAUUAGGAAAACUCUGGUCUGUGAUGACGUCACAGUGUUGGUUGCCUGGAUCUGAGUGGGGCCUGCGUGGGAUGCUAAUUUAAAAGGACCUUUCUGAGAUUAAGGAGAUACCAUAUUCUAAGUCUGGAGAAAGGGCUCACUCAGUGAGUAAAGCAUUGAAGACCAGAGUUCCAGUCCCCAGAGCCCAUGUAACAUCCAGGACAGUGGCAGCCUGCCUGAAUCCCAGCACACUGGGACCCAGUCCCCAGAACAUUACCAGCCAGAACGAGCUAGUCCUAAUGAUGGUGGGCUCCUGGUUCCAGGAGAGACCAUGUCUCCAUGUAUGAGGGAGAGUGAGCUGUCCUCCACACGCGUCCACACAUACUGCAUGUGCCCACACACUUGCAAAGAGACACAUGCAUAC